AUGUUCUUCAUUUUAGAUAAUGAAACCAUUCCAUUACUACCAACCCACAGAAAUACGACCUCUCUGAGAUAUACGGUUUAUGCCGGAAAGGUACGAAGUUGGACUAAUUUGGAAACAUUGGGCAAUUUAGUUUAUACCUACUAUUCCGUCUGGUUUUUCGUUUCUAGUCUGAUUUUAUUAGUUGCUAUGAUUGGGGCUAUAGUACUUACUAUGCAUAGGACUACAAAGGUGAAAGAACAGGAUGUAUUCUGGCGAAAUGCCUUGGAUUCUAGGAGCCAUAUAAUGAGCAGGACUAUUUCUCCUUUUGGCCAUCUCCAUAGAAGAAGCUUCUGCUCCAAAGUGGAGGGAGGGGAAUCUAUGGAUUCCUAUAACCCUACUUAUAUCGAAUUUUUAAGACAACAUUUAGGGUUUUUUUCCCGCGUUUGGUACCAAAUCUGGAUAAACUCCUUUUGGUUCUUAAACCGGAGGAAAUUCUCUUUCUGGCUUUCCGCUUCUCGCGGGAUGUGA
RNAcentral lists this ribosomal RNA (507 nucleotides) under Triticum aestivum (bread wheat). Its description in RNAcentral is "partial small subunit ribosomal RNA". The record is from RNAcentral. Lineage: Eukaryota; Viridiplantae; Streptophyta; Magnoliopsida; Poales; Poaceae.